CAUACGACUCUCGGCAACGGAUAUCUCGGCUCUCGCAUCGAUGAAGAACGUAGCGAAAUGCGAUACUUGGUGUGAAUUGCAGAAUCCCGUGAACCAUCGAGUCUUUGAACGCAAGUUGCGCCCGAGGCCUUCCGGCCGAGGGCACGCCUGCCUG
This 154-nucleotide ribosomal RNA is filed under the name Tulipa clusiana. RNAcentral describes it as "5.8S ribosomal RNA". It matches the Rfam family "5.8S ribosomal RNA". From Rfam's summary of the family: 5.8S ribosomal RNA (5.8S rRNA) is a component of the large subunit of the eukaryotic ribosome. It is transcribed by RNA polymerase I as part of the 45S precursor that also contains 18S and 28S rRNA. Lineage: Eukaryota; Viridiplantae; Streptophyta; Magnoliopsida; Liliales; Liliaceae. The record is from RNAcentral.